RNAcentral lists this ribosomal RNA (465 nucleotides) under uncultured bacterium. RNAcentral describes it as "partial 16S ribosomal RNA". It matches the Rfam family "Bacterial small subunit ribosomal RNA", at positions 28 to 507 of the family's 1533-position model. The record is from RNAcentral.
GACGAACGCUGGCGGCGUGCUUAACACAUGCAAGUCGAACGGUGAACUCCGCUUGCGGGGGGAUCAGUGGCGAACGGGUGAGUAACACGUGGGCAACCUGCCCUCAGCUCUGGGAUAACUCCAAGAAAUUGGGGCUAAUACCGGAUAUGACCGCUGACCGCAUGGUCUGGUGGUGGAAAGAUUUAUCGGCUGGGGAUGGGCCCGCGGCCUAUCAGCUUGUUGGUGGGGUAGUGGCCUACCAAGGCGGCGACGGGUAGCCGGCCUGAGAGGGUGACCGGCCACACUGGGACUGAGACACGGCCCAGACUCCUACGGGAGGCAGCAGUGGGGAAUAUUGCGCAAUGGGCGAAAGCCUGACGCAGCGACGCCGCGUGGGGGAUGACGGCCUUCGGGUUGUAAACCUCUUUCAGCAGGGACGAAGCGAAAGUGACGGUACCUGCAGAAGAAGCACCGGCCAACUACGUG